RNAcentral lists this ribosomal RNA (467 nucleotides) under uncultured bacterium. RNAcentral describes it as "partial 16S ribosomal RNA". It matches the Rfam family "Bacterial small subunit ribosomal RNA", at positions 28 to 507 of the family's 1533-position model. The record is from RNAcentral.
GACGAACGCUGGCGGCGUGCUUAACACAUGCAAGUCGAACGGAAAGGCCCUGCUUUUGUGGGGUGCUCGAGUGGCGAACGGGUGAGUAACACGUGAGUAACCUGCCCUUGACUUGGGAUAACUUCAGGAAACUGGGGCUAAUACCGGAUAGGAGCUCCUGCUGCAUGGUGGGGGUUGGAAAGUUUCGGCGGUUGGGGAUGGACUCGCGGCUUAUCAGCUUGUUGGUGGGGUAGUGGCUUACCAAGGCUUUGACGGGUAGCCGGCCUGAGAGGGUGACCGGCCACAUUGGGACUAAGAUACGGACCAGACUCCUACGGGGGGCCGCAGUGGGGAGUAUUGCACAAUGGCCGGAAGCCUGAUGCAGCAACGCCGCGUGCGGGAUGACUGCCUUCGGGUUGUAAACCGCUUUCGCCUGUGACGAAGCGUGAGUGACGGUAAUGGGUAAAGAAGCACCGGCUAACUACGUG